AUACGGAAGGUCCGGGCGUUAUCCGGAUUUAUUGGGUUUAAAGGGAGCGCAGGCGGAGAUGCAAGCGUGACGUCAAAUUUCGGGGCUCAACCCCGUCUCGCGUCGCGAACUGCGUCCCUUGGUUGCGGGAAGGGGAGGCGGAACUCGUGGUGUAGCGGUGGAAUGCAUAGAUAUCACGAAGAAACCCGAUCGCGAAGGCAGCCUUCCGGCCCGUCAACGACGCUCAUGCUCGAAGGUGCGGGUAUCAAACAGGAUUAGAUACCCUGGUAGUCCGCACAGUAAACGAUGGACACCCGCGGUUUGGCCUAUAUGGCUGAGCCGCCAAGCGAAAGCGUUAAGUGUCCCACCUGGGGAGUACGCCGGCAACGGUGAAACUCAAAUGAAUUGACGGGG
This 393-nucleotide ribosomal RNA is filed under the name uncultured bacterium. RNAcentral describes it as "partial 16S ribosomal RNA". It matches the Rfam family "Bacterial small subunit ribosomal RNA", at positions 523 to 918 of the family's 1533-position model. The record is from RNAcentral.